UUACCAGUGGCGAAAAGCUUGCAGUACACAGAGGUGAGCACAGACUAGCUGCCUCCAGUCUUCAUCCAGGCAGGAGGAACUUAUAACCCAUAAAUUCCUUCUUGCUGGGCUAGAUGGAGACCUGUACCAGAGGUAUGUAGCUUUAAUCUAGCUUGGUGCCUAGACACAAUCCUAGGCAAAAACCAAUGGCUCUGUGCACAGCCUUGCCACUCCAUCGAUGCAGGGUUCCCAGCCUGUGGCGCGCACAUCAUUUCCUCAUCAGCAUCUUGAGAAAGGGCUGUAAGGGUUGUCCAAAAUGCCCAGUGCUGCACUCUGCUAUGCAGGCGUGACUCAGGCAUUCAGGAGCUGCUGUAGCAGCGCAUGCACAGAUGCCUUCUGCCCGGACCAUGCAGAUGCACAACCCAACCAUGCAAUGUGCAUAUCAGAGCCCUGUUUCUGCGUGUGGUCAAUGCCAGGUAUCUGGCUACGGAUUCCUAGUGACCCACAGGACCUGCAACCUGCCCCAGGUGCAGGGAGUGCUUCUCCAAACAUAGCUGUGCACAUCUCCAUGCCUCCCAUCUGACAUCUGCAACAUGGCAAAACUAAUGCUGAGCCUCAUCCUGGGAGUCCAGGCGGCAUACUUCAUUUUUUAUGUAACUUAUUAUGAGAACUCUGAAUAAAAGGCACAAUUAAAA
Molecule: long non-coding RNA, 674 nt
Organism: Oxyura jamaicensis (ruddy duck)
Lineage: Eukaryota; Metazoa; Chordata; Aves; Anseriformes; Anatidae
Exons: 2
Source: RefSeq, a predicted model, not a curated record